RNAcentral lists this ribosomal RNA (497 nucleotides) under uncultured bacterium. RNAcentral describes it as "partial 16S ribosomal RNA". It matches the Rfam family "Bacterial small subunit ribosomal RNA", at positions 28 to 507 of the family's 1533-position model. The record is from RNAcentral.
GAUGAACGCUGGCGGCGUGCCUAAUACAUGCGAGUCGAGCGAACAGACGAGGAGCUUGCUCCUCUGACGUUAGCGGCGGACGGGUGAGUAACACGUGGAUAACCUACCUAUAAGACUGGGAUAACUUCGGGAAACCGGAGCUAAUACCGGAUAAUAUAUUGAACCGCAUGGUUCAAUAGUGAAAGACGGUUUUGCUGUCACUUAUAGAUGGAUCCGCGCCGCAUUAGCUAGUUGGUAAGGUAACGGCUUACCAAGGCAACGAUGCGUAGCCGACCUGAGAGGAUGAUCGGCCACACUGGAACUGAGACACGGUCCAGACUCCUACGGGAGGCAGCAGUAGGGAAUCUUCCGCAAUGGGCGAAAGCUUGACGGAGCAACGCCGCGUGAGUGAUGAAGGUCUUCGGAUCGUAAAGCUCUGUUAUUAGGGAAGAACAAAUGUGUAAGUAACUAUGCACGUCUUGACGGUACCUAAUCAGAAAGCCACGGCUAACUACGUG